GAUGAACGCUGGCGGCGUGCCUAAUACAUGCAAGUCGAACGGGCAGACUUCGGUCUGUUAGUGGCGAACGGGUGAGUAACGCGUUGGUGACCUGCCCUGGAGUGUGGGAUAACAGUCCGAAAGGAUUGCUAAUACCGCAUGCGCAAGUGGGAGUUUAGAAACCUGCUUGUAAAGCCGAAAGGCGCUCUGGGAGGGGCCUGCGUCCCAUCAGCUAGUUGGUAAGGUAACGGCUUACCAAGGCGAUGACGGGUAGGGGACCUGAGAGGGUGACCCCCCACAAUGGAACUGAAACACGGUCCAUACACCUACGGGUGGCAG
RNAcentral lists this ribosomal RNA (318 nucleotides) under uncultured Chloroflexota bacterium. RNAcentral describes it as "bacterial SSU rRNA". It matches the Rfam family "Bacterial small subunit ribosomal RNA", at positions 28 to 351 of the family's 1533-position model. The record is from RNAcentral. Lineage: Bacteria; Bacillati; Chloroflexota.